RNAcentral lists this ribosomal RNA (301 nucleotides) under uncultured bacterium. Its description in RNAcentral is "partial 16S ribosomal RNA". It matches the Rfam family "Bacterial small subunit ribosomal RNA", at positions 509 to 807 of the family's 1533-position model. The record is from RNAcentral.
CAGUCGCCGCGGGAAUACGAAGGGGGCUAGCGUUGUUCGGAUUUACUGGGCGUAAAGCGCACGUAGGCGGACUUUUAAGUCAGGGGUGAAAUCCCGGGGCUCAACCCCGGAACUGCCUUUGAUACUGGGAGUCUUGAGUUCGAGAGAGGUGAGUGGAAUUGCGAGUGUAGAGGUGAAAUUCGUAGAUAUUCGCAGGAACACCAGCGGCGAAGGCGGCCCGCUGGCUCGAUACUGACGCUGAGGUGCGAAAGCGUGGGGAGCAAACAGGAUUAGAUACCCGAGUAGUCCCUGUCUCUUAUAC